CCUACGAGAGGCAGCAGUCGAGAAUAAUUCGCAAUGCACGAAAGUUUGACGAUGCGACGCCGCGUGAACGAUGAAGGCCUUCGGGUUGUAACGUUCUGUUGCCCUAGAACAAGCGUAAUCGACAAAUAGUUGGUUACAAUGAGUGUAUAGGGAGAGGAAGCACCGGCUAAUUCCGUGCCAGCAGCUGCGGUAAUACGGAAGGUGCAAGCGUUAGUCGGAAUUACUGGGCGUAAAGGGUGCGUAGGCGGUAAGGUAAGUCGGGUGUGAAAUCCCAGAGCUCAACUCUGGAACUGCAUUCGAAACUGCUUUACUUUGAGGAAUGGCGGAGAAAAUGGAAUUCCAUAUGUAGCGGUGAAAUGCGUAGAUAUAUGGAAGAACACCUGUGGCGAAAGCGGUUUUCUAGCCUCCUCCUGACGCUAAGGCACGAAAGCAAGGGGAGCAAACA
Molecule: ribosomal RNA, 445 nt
Filed under: uncultured prokaryote
Description: bacterial SSU rRNA
Rfam family: Bacterial small subunit ribosomal RNA
Source: RNAcentral